Molecule: long non-coding RNA, 2219 nt
Organism: Cottoperca gobio
Lineage: Eukaryota; Metazoa; Chordata; Actinopteri; Perciformes; Bovichtidae
Source: Ensembl
GUACAAACAGAAUGGAUCUGGUAUGCGCUGCCUUGUCAAGGUUGAAAAGAGUAAUAAAGUUUUCCGUCUUUGUUCGUACCACAGAGCCUUCUCGUCCUCAUUCAUUCUUUUCCUUCUGCGUGAAAGUACUCGUGACAAAACAACAGUUCAAAAUAAUUCAAUUGACUUCAAAAAUGUUGUCGGAGGCGCAGUAUUACGACUUAACGCCGGCUCCAGACUAUGACGACUACAGCGCCACCUUCGAGUACAGCUUAUACAGUAACACCAGCAGCGAUGACUUGGAAAAGUUCAUCGAGCAGUUCAUCGACCCGGAGGAAGAGGACACGGAGGACACGGGGUCGCAGCGGGAGGAAGAGGAUGUGACUGUUACCACGGCUAUGACCCGAGUAACCACAGAGCAGGACGGAGUCUACGGUCGUAACGCCGCAUCACUUCCUGUUUCUCUGGAAAUCACGACGCUCAUCUGGACUUUGAUGAUCCUGAUCAGCCUGAACGUGCAGCAGCUGCAACAAACACUGUGAGACACACACACAGUCAGCAGCUGGCAGUCGGUCCUGCAGGUCACCUGAUCUGAGGGGUGGUCGCUGUCCCCCGUGACCUUUGACCUCUGCAGAGAGGAGCCACAGCUUCCCUCAGCGUGGGCUCACAGGUGGACCUCAGCCAAUCACAGAGCUUUACCUGCACCACAGUUUACAAACUCUUCUUAUAAAACUUUAGCACAUUUUUCACUGUUUUAUUUGAACGUGUGAACAAACAGAACCGAGAUCUGCUCGGUGACAUUUAAUGUAAUUAUGUACGAAUAUGUUUAUUAAUGUCAAAACUACGGUGGCCAGUGAGGGAAACAAAUGACUUAAAUACCGACGAGAAAAAGGUUUUGCCAAGACACAUUUUCUUCCUUUGUUUUUGCUGCAAUGGAAAAAGUGAAUUAGGAGGUGAAGUGUUGGACGCUUUCACCAGAGGCUGACGUGCAGCACGACACAUGUUGUAAACACGGACACACUUCUCACCUUCAGUCAUCAACACAGGCUGUGGAGGGGGCGGGGCUUACCUCCAGGUGGAGAAACAACCUGCUGCUCUGUUGUGUUAGUCGUGUCGGGCUCUGUAGCCCGUCACACGCCGGGCGAAGUAUUCCGGUUUACUGCAGCGGUAUGAACCCAAAAGGACCAGAUUUAUUUAAUAAACAUAUCAAAAGAAUUCUGAAAUAACGACAUAAUUAGUAAUAAAUCUGAACUAAUGCUUUGUCUUUUAAAAUGCUUGUUUUCUGAAUGAUUUUUUCAACGAGUCUACACUUCAUUUGUGUCGCGUCAUUCAAGUUAUUUGCAUCUUUGCAUCUUUGCAUCUUUGCAUUGACUUUAGACGUAAUCGCUGCCGGUGUGAACGCAGCGUUAGAAGAUAGAUCGUCAUCUUAUGUAACAUCAUGUAACAUCUAUCUUAUCGUAUGAAACACUUCAGGGUUAUGAAUAAAAUCCGACUUUAGUGAGAUGCAUAAACAGAAAAACUCAUUUACAAAGAAUAAAACAACAAAGUAAAUGUAAAGAUUAAGUCAAUAAUACUUGUUAUACAUCAUGUUUAGUUUUUGACCUUAAUGAGCUUCCAUACCUGCUCCAUAAAUGGACCUCAGAGAGGAAGUGAGCGUAUUUACAAAUUAAUUAAUGAAGCUAAACUUCAGCGUGCCGUGGAGCAGCAGCGCCCCCUGGUGUUGCACCUUAUAUUCAAUAUAUCACAUUUCUUUUUUAUUUCUUCCUCUGAACUGUUUCACGUUUAAUCUGUAAAAACAUUUUGCAGCUUUGCACUUUGUACACACAGCACUUAUCAGUUUCAUCUGUUGAGUUCUGAGAGAAGUUCAAUAAUAAUUCAUUAAACCAGUUUUAACUCUGCACACGGAAAAAACAUUUGUUCUGUGUUGAUAAAAUGUUUAAAACAUUUAAAGGAUGUUUCUCUGCAGACAAAGACUGUAAAGUAUAUAAUAUACAUUAAAACAUGUUUUAUAUAAGAACAGGAAACUUCCAGAACAAAAUAGAAACAUGUUGUUUGAUUGUUUUGUUUUGCAAUAAAAAUUCAUGAAAAGUUAUUAACAGCUUCUUGUUUUGUUUUUUUAACACUUUUUUUUUAUUGUUUUUUAACAUAUGUAGACACUACAUAAGACAGGACACAAACUUCCACAUCCAAGACAUAACAAAAUGAAGUACAUUAACAGUCGCACACAUAACAUAAUUAAA